Hippopotamus amphibius kiboko is the source of this 1142-nucleotide long non-coding RNA. RefSeq lists it as uncharacterized. Lineage: Eukaryota; Metazoa; Chordata; Mammalia; Artiodactyla; Hippopotamidae. The transcript is spliced from 3 exons. The record is from RefSeq and is a predicted model, not a curated record.
UGCCAGUGAAUAUGACUGUCGGCAUUUAAUUUUUUAUUACAUCAUAGAGCAUAAGAAAGACUAAUGCUGAUCUUGGUGACAGUAGCUCUCAGUUUCUUCAUCUGAAAAAUGAGGGGCUUGAAAUAGUUGACAAAUCUUUGUUCAGUUCAGUUACAGUAAAUUAAUCCUAAACUCCAUUCUGGCUCUAAAUAGUAUGAUUUUGAACAUUUUCUUAAGAAAUAUUUUAAUCCGAUAUGUAGGACAUGAUUUUUGUUUCUCCUUAGGAAAAUAUUUUGUAAGUUGCCUCUGGGAAUUGUCUCCUUUCCUCACUCUACUGAGUGAGCGAGUAGACAGUAGCUGUAAUGAUAGCUUCCUUCCUUUUUCUUUUUCCUGUCUUCUAAAAUACAGGACAUAGCUCGCUUUUGUAACCCGAAUUGGUAAUAAAUCAGGGCAUGGGAGGUGUAAGCAAAGGAAAUAGUAGGGAGAAUGUUUUGAUAUUGUCUGUGCAUUCAUUUACUCAUCCAUUCAUUCAUUUCAGAGAUAUUUACUGAGCAUCUAUUUAUUGAACACCCGCACGCCAGCCCUGUGCUAAGUGCUGGAAAUAAAGGAAGUUUCCAGGCAGAUACAAUCACUGCCCUCAUGGAACUUUUAAAGUAGUGAAGAAGAUAAACAUUAAUAAUUGUGUGAUUAUUGUUACAAAAUGAAACAUGCUGUAUAUUUUAAAGAGAUUAUGAUUUACCCGAUCCAUGGAAAAAAAGCAACAGAUUCAGGAUCUAGCAACAAAGCAGCAUAGAUUUUUAAACAGUCAGUAUAAAUAAUGUGUUCUUCCCCUGAAGCCCUAACAACGAUUAAUGUCUGCCACUUGAGCAAGAUGCCUGAUGUCAACAUGAAGUCCUACGUGUCAGAGUGUCUCUAGCCACAAAUUAAGUCACACACCCCAGAGAGGUGUCUAGCGGGGAGAAUGCUAUCAUCAUGAGUAGCUGAAUCAGGAAUUACCCCUGAGUCUUCAGAAUAGUGGUCUCCUUGGUGAAGUGGUUGCCCAGACAGAAUGUUUCUUGGCAGUAAGGAGUAAAGGGCCGUGCUGUCUGAUCACCAUCCCACAGGACAUCAGAGCAUUUAGGAGGGAGGCUAUCGCUGUGAUGAGUAGCCUCAAUAUGCUGCAG